AUAACUUCGAAAGUUAGAGGUGCACGCCCGGGGUCGAACCCCAGACCCCCGACUAGGAGGUGGUCGUC
Long non-coding RNA from Maniola jurtina (meadow brown), 68 nucleotides. RefSeq lists it as uncharacterized. The record is from RefSeq and is a predicted model, not a curated record. Lineage: Eukaryota; Metazoa; Arthropoda; Insecta; Lepidoptera; Nymphalidae. The transcript has 3 exons.